AAGAUCUUAUGUUAAAUAAACAAGUAGCCUUCAAAGCUACAAUUAAAAGUAAAUAAUCUUUUAGGUCUUA
This 70-nucleotide transfer RNA is filed under the name Enallagma cyathigerum. RNAcentral's name for it is "tRNA-Trp". The record is from RNAcentral. Lineage: Eukaryota; Metazoa; Arthropoda; Insecta; Odonata; Coenagrionidae.